UACGUAGGACCCAAGCGUUGUCCGGAUUUACUGGGUAUAAAGGGUGCGCAGGCGGCCGAGUGCGUCAGAGGUGAAAUAUCCAUGCUUAACGUGGAGGGUGCCUUUGAUACGGCUUGGCUUGAGUCCGAGAGAGGGUGAUGGAAUUCCUGGUGUAGCGGUGAAAUGCGUAGAUAUCAGGAGGAACACCGGUGGCGAAGGCGGUCACCUGGCUCGGAACUGACGCUCAGGCACGAAAGCGCGGGGAUCAAACAGG
This 253-nucleotide ribosomal RNA is filed under the name uncultured bacterium. RNAcentral's name for it is "partial 16S ribosomal RNA". It matches the Rfam family "Bacterial small subunit ribosomal RNA", at positions 524 to 776 of the family's 1533-position model. The record is from RNAcentral.